GACGAACGCUGGCGGCGUGCUUAACACAUGCAAGUCGAACGGAAAGGCCCUGCUUUUGUGGGGUGCUCGAGUGGCGAACGGGUGAGUAACACGUGAGUAACCUGCCCUUGACUUUGGGAUAACUUCAGGAAACUGGGGCUAAUACCGGAUAGGAGCUCCUGCUGCAUGGUGGGGGUUGGAAAGUUUCGGCGGUUGGGGAUGGACUCGCGGCUUAUCAGCUUGUUGGUGGGGUAGUGGCUUACCAAGGCUUUGACGGGUAGCCGGCCUGAGAGGGUGACCGGUCACAGUGGGAGAGGGUGACGACCCAGCAGCGGAAGGGAGGAAGGAGGAGGUAGUACAGCAGAAGGGGGGGAGGUCUGGUGGAGCAAGGGCGGGGGCGGGUGGCGGCACUUCGGGUUGUAAACCGCUUUGGGCGGUGAGGAAGCGGUAGUGACGGGAAGGGGAAAAGAAGCACAGGCUAACUGCGCGCCAGCAGCGGGGGGAAUAGAUCGGAAGACCAGCCCUCUAGC
Molecule: ribosomal RNA, 509 nt
Filed under: uncultured bacterium
Lineage: Bacteria
Description: partial 16S ribosomal RNA
Rfam family: Bacterial small subunit ribosomal RNA
Source: RNAcentral